Piliocolobus tephrosceles (Ugandan red Colobus) is the source of this 1659-nucleotide long non-coding RNA. NCBI's taxonomy places the organism in Eukaryota, Metazoa, Chordata, Mammalia, Primates, Cercopithecidae. The record is from Ensembl.
GCACAAUAAAUAAUUUAGGAAAAAAUACAAAUAACAAUAAUAUGAAUAAUUCCUAUGUAUCCAUUGCCGAAAAUGAAAACAAAGGGCUAUAUAAAGAAAUAUUUUACACUGCGUUUGACAAUAUAAAAAAAAAUGAAAAAAAUACAGUCAUAAAAUCUAUACUAAUGAAUUUACAUAUCAUUCCAUCUGUUUAUUCAUCAAAUGUUACUUUUCCGAUCGAAGAAAAUAUUGAAAAAACAAGAUAUAUUAUUGUUAUUAUUAAUUUUUUAUUUACUUUAAUGAAAACUAAAUUUUACGAAGUUAUACAUGAAAAUACGUUUGAAUAUAUUGACUACUUUAUUGAACAAUUAAAAAAAAGUGUAAACAUAAAAAAUAUUAAACUAGUUUGUGGAUAUAUAUCUCUUUUAUUAAAUUAUUCAUUAAAUAAAAAAACUAAUAACUUAAACGAAACCGCUGAUUUAAAAUCUAGUAUAUUUAUAAAAAAUAUUCAUUAUAAUAAUCAACCAAAUAUUAUUAAAAUACAUAAAGCUUUAUAUGAAUCUGGAGCAUUAACAUUUCUUAUAUCUUCAUUAUAUGAUUCGAAGGAUUCAUUAAUUAUUUAUAACUGUAUUUAUUCUAUAUCUUUUUUGUUAUAUAAAAAAUCUAUCUUAGAUUAUGAUAAAAAUAUAGAACUAUCUAACAUGAAAAUAGCAAUUUUAAAUAUAGUUAGACAUUAUUAUAAUUUAGAUACAUAUAUGGAAACAUAUACAGAAAAUUUUAUUGAUUAUAAAGGUUUUUUAAAAAGUGGUAAUAACAAAAAAAAUGUAGCAUUAAACGAAGAGGAUAGUAAUUAUAACAACCUGUUACAUAAAUUUAGUAAAAAAAAUACAUAUGAAUAUGAAGACUUAAAUCAAAAAUAUUUAUAUGAAGAAGAAAAUAAAUAUUUAUUAAAUGAUAAAAAUGAUAAAUACUUAUCAAAUCAUGUAAAUUCAAAUUAUGCACAAAAUAUCAUUAAUAAAAAUAUUAAUUCUAAAGAACAUAUGAUAGAAAAUAAAAAUAUGUUUCCAAAUUUAAAAUAUCAAUAUGCAAAUGUAAAUUAUGAAAAUUCCUUUUUUCUCAAUUUUGAUAAAAUAUUUUAUGAAACAGUCAAAAAUAAAAAAAGCUCUUAUAAUUUUUAUUUUGAUACAAUUUAUAACACACAAUAUUUAUUCAAUUUUUUGUUACAUAAUUUUUUAUUUUACUCAAAAGACGCAGAUGAAUAUUCAAAAAAAUAUCUGUUAAAUAUUUUAUUACAUAAUAACAUAACCAGGUCAUCUGACAUUAACUUUUAUUCCAAUAAAAUCAAAAAUUUAAACUCUCAAUUUAAUGAAUCACAAUCGAGACUAGAACUUUAUAAACAAGACCUCGAAAGAUAUAAAGAUGUUAUAAAUGUAUUAAAUAAAGAAAUAGAAGAAAAAGAUAGUACUCAUAAUAUCUUAAUCCAAAAAAUAAGAAAAGAAAAUGAAAUAGAGUUAAAUAGAAAAAUCCAAGAAAAUAACAACUUGGAAAAUAUUAUCUCGCAAAAAAAUGACAUAAUAGAUGAGUAAUGGCAUACCCACAAAACUGAAAAAAAAAAAAAAAAAAAAAAAAAAAAAAAAAAAAAAAAAAAAAAAAGAAAAAAAAAAAAAAAAAAAAAAAAAA